Molecule: ribosomal RNA, 255 nt
Filed under: uncultured bacterium
Lineage: Bacteria
Description: partial 16S ribosomal RNA
Rfam family: Bacterial small subunit ribosomal RNA
Source: RNAcentral
UACGGAGAGUGCAAGCAUUAAUCGGAAUUAUUGGGCGUAAAGGGCGCGUAGGCGGAUUUGUAAGUCAGAUGUGAAAUUCCGAAGCUCAACUUCGGAGCUGCAUUUGAAACUGCUUGUCUAAAGAGGGUUGACGGAGAAAACGGAAUUCCACGUGUAGCGGUGAAAUGCGUAGAUAUGUGGAAGAACACCGGUGGCGAAGGCGGUUUUCUAGUUGAUACCUGACGCUGAGGCGCGAGAGCAAGGGGAGCAAACAGG